RNAcentral lists this ribosomal RNA (253 nucleotides) under uncultured bacterium. RNAcentral's name for it is "partial 16S ribosomal RNA". It matches the Rfam family "Bacterial small subunit ribosomal RNA", at positions 524 to 776 of the family's 1533-position model. The record is from RNAcentral.
UACGUAGGGUGCAAGCGUUGUCCGGAAUUAUUGGGUUUAAAGGGUGCGUAGGCGGAUUAUUAAGUCAGUGGUGAAAGCCUGCAGCUUAACUGCAGAACUGCCAUUGAUACUGAUGAUCUUGAGUAUGAUUGAGGUGGGCGGAAUGUGUCAUGUAGCGGUGAAAUGCUUAGAUAUGACACAGAACACCGAUUGCGAAGGCAGCUCACUAAGCCAUAACUGACGCUGAUGCACGAAAGCGUGGGGAGCAAACAGG